GCUUUAUGUUUAAUUAUAAAGUAUAGUCUGCCCAGUGUUUAUAUAAACGGCUGCAUUAGCACUAAGGUAGCAUAAUAAUUUGUCUUUUAAUUGAUGACUAGAAUGAAUGGCUUUACGGGGGAUUACUGUCUCUUAUUUUAUUUUUGAAUUUUAUUUUCAAGUAAAAAAGCUUGAAUUAUUUAGUGGGACGAAAAGACCCUAUAGAGUUUAAUAAAUAUUGAUUAUUUUAUUCUUUUAGAUAAUUAUUUUUUAUUUGGUUGGGGUGAUUUUUUAAUAUCUUCUUUAUUUAAAAAAAUGAUUUUAUAUUUAUUUUGAUCUUAUAUUAUUGAUUAUUAGAAUAAAUUACCUUAGGGAUAACAGCGUAAUAUUUUUUUAGAGUACUUAUCGAAAAAAUUGUUUACGACCUCGAUGUUGGAUUAUAGAACCUUAUUGGAGAAGAUUUUUUUUUAGGUAGUCUGUUCGACUAUUAAAUCUAUACA
RNAcentral lists this ribosomal RNA (479 nucleotides) under Stylopallene longicauda. RNAcentral describes it as "partial 16S ribosomal RNA". It matches the Rfam family "Bacterial large subunit ribosomal RNA", at positions 1831 to 2600 of the family's 2925-position model. Lineage: Eukaryota; Metazoa; Arthropoda; Pycnogonida; Pantopoda; Callipallenidae. The record is from RNAcentral.